Molecule: long non-coding RNA, 252 nt
Filed under: Lathyrus oleraceus (garden pea)
Lineage: Eukaryota; Viridiplantae; Streptophyta; Magnoliopsida; Fabales; Fabaceae
Description: Pisum sativum (pea) long non-coding RNA (PSAT_LNC024315)
Source: RNAcentral
AUUCCUUUUCUAUUUCUUAAUUUUCUAGAUUUUUUAUUCUUUUUCUUUUUCUUUAAUAAGGGAUCAUUCCCUUAUUUUCAUCGAUCAGCUUACUCAAUGGUAAACCAGAUGGUUCUGAUUGCUAGGAUAAACUACUCAAAGACUUAUUUAGGGGUGAGAUUUCAAUUCCAUGGCUUAUCAAGUAUCCAAAUUGAUCUUUAUAAUUAGAAGACUUACGGUGUUAAGACGAUACCGAUCUUUUGGGGGUUUUCC